GCGGACACCGAGACGUUUGCCUUCCAGGCGGAGAUCAACCAGCUCCUCAGCUUGAUCAUCAACACCUUCUACAGCAACAAGGAGAUCUUUCUCCGUGAGCUUAUCAGCAAUGCCUCCGAUGUGAGUCUUCUUCAGCCGUUGAUUGUUAUUCUGGAUUUGGAAUCAGUAUUUGAUCUAGUGUUUAUUGAUUGUUUGAUUGUUUGGAUUUUGAUUGCGUUUGAGUACUGGUUUUUGUUGACGAUUGGUGUUGGAUUAGUAGAGAUCUGGACUCUUUAGGCUUGAUUCUAGGGUUUAUGAUAGUUUUGCAAUAUUAAAAGAGUAAUCAAUCUGUGGAUUAGUUAAAAGUUGAUAAUGGAAAUAGGAUGAUGAUUUUUGUAGUUGUUUAGCUGUUGUUGUGGAAUCAGAAUCGAGUGGGUUUUGAUUUUGAUGAUUAAUAGUGGAUUGAUUAGUUUUAGUAAUUAUUACUGAUUUGGGGGUUUAGGGUUUUGUUUUUUAUUCAGGGGUUUCGGAUUGGUGUGUAACAUGCUUUGGGCUCAAUGUUAAUCAUGAUCAAUCGUAUUUUAUACAUGUCUUCAUUGUGCAGACACAUAGUUUCGUUUACCUGUUUAUGUCAACUUUGAUAUGGAGUUGAUAUGGUGCAUAGUUACCGGUGGAUGCUUUUAAUUUGUUUUGUAUUGAUUGUGAAUACGAUUGUUAAGUUGUGAGCGGUGUGUUUAUUUAAGUGUGUCGAUUUUUCUUGAGUUUGUGCCUUUUAGUUUCAAUGGAGUGCGUUUGUUGAUGUAUGAUGUUCUAUUUAUGCAGGCUCUUGACAAGAUUAGAUUUGAGAGCUUGACCGAUAAGAGCAAGCUUGAGUCUCAGCCAGAGCUCUUCAUCCACAUUAUCCCCGACAAGACCAACAACACAUUGACCAUUAUUGACAGUGGUAUUGGAAUGACCAAGGCUGGUAAGUUGCUCUGCUUUUGAUUUUACAUGUUUGUUUUAGUUUUAUGUUUUUGGGAUACUGAAAUUGAUGAUGCGAUACUAAUGUGUUUGCUUAAUUUCUGUUUUCAGAUUUGGUGAACAACCUUGGUACCAUUGCAAGGUCAGGAACCAAGGAAUUCAUGGAAGCCUUGGCUGCUGGUGCUGACGUUAGCAUGAUUGGUCAGUUUGGUGUUGGUUUCUACUCUGCCUAUCUUGUUGCCGAGAAGGUCAUCGUCACCACCAAGCACAAUGAUGACGAGCAGUACAUCUGGGAGUCUCAGGCUGGAGGAUCUUUCACAGUGACCAGGGACUCUGGUGAGCCUCUUGGCAGGGGUACCAAGAUCUGCCUUCACCUGAAGGAGGACCAACUUGAGUACCUUGAAGAGCGCAGGCUCAAGGAUUUGAUCAAGAAGCACUCCGAGUUCAUCAGCUACCCUAUUUCAUUGUGGAUUGAGAAGACCACUGAGAAGGAGAUCUCUGAUGAUGAGGAUGAAGAAGAAAAGAAGGAAGAGGAAGGAAAGGUGGAGGAAGUUGAUGAAGAGAAGGAAAAGGAGGAGAAGAAAAAGAAGAAAAUUCAGGAGAUUUCUCACGAAUGGUCUUUGGUGAACAAGCAAAAGCCUAUCUGGAU
Molecule: long non-coding RNA, 1588 nt
Filed under: Fragaria vesca (wild strawberry)
Lineage: Eukaryota; Viridiplantae; Streptophyta; Magnoliopsida; Rosales; Rosaceae
Description: long non-coding RNA (FVES_LNC001517)
Source: RNAcentral